ACAGAUCUGAAGAGGCCGAGAAUAUUGGAUAUGUCAUUCCUACUACAGUUGUGUCUCAUUUUCUGGAUGACUAUGAGAGGAACGGGAAGUAUACAGGUUUCCCUUGCCUGGGUGUAUUGUUGCAAAAGUUGGAGAAUCCAGCAUUACGGGCGUGUUUAAAAGUAGAGUCUAUUGAGGGUGUACUGGUACGAAGAGUUGAACCCACUUCUGAUGCACAUAAUGUAUUAAAGGAGGGGGACGUGAUUGUAAGCUUUGAUGAUGUUCAUGUAGGGUGUGAAGGAACAGUACCUUUCCGAUCAAAUGAGCGCA
Prunus avium (sweet cherry) is the source of this 309-nucleotide non-coding RNA. The record is from RefSeq and is a predicted model, not a curated record. NCBI's taxonomy places the organism in Eukaryota, Viridiplantae, Streptophyta, Magnoliopsida, Rosales, Rosaceae.